RNAcentral lists this small RNA (114 nucleotides) under Mytilus galloprovincialis (Mediterranean mussel). Lineage: Eukaryota; Metazoa; Mollusca; Bivalvia; Mytilida; Mytilidae. The record is from RNAcentral.
GAGACAAAAUUGACAUUUGUGAGACAAAAUUGACUUUUGUGAGACAAAAUUGACAAAAUGUCGUCACAAAGGUAAAUUUUGUCUCACAAAAGUCAAUUUUGUCUCACAAAAGUC